Psammomys obesus (fat sand rat) is the source of this 1366-nucleotide long non-coding RNA. RefSeq lists it as uncharacterized. The record is from RefSeq and is a predicted model, not a curated record. The transcript is spliced from 2 exons. Lineage: Eukaryota; Metazoa; Chordata; Mammalia; Rodentia; Muridae.
UUCAUGGUGAGCCCGGGUUAGCUGGAAAGGACUGCUCCAGUCAGCUCCUCCAUGAAGGCCUGGGGCAGUGUAAAACACCAGCAAAGGAACGGCCCAGCAUUUCCGCUGCAAAGCAGAGAGGCGUCCCUCCCAGGUCCAGGCACCCAGCCUUCCAACUUGAGUCCAGCCCAAAGCCUGCACUCUAAUACAUAUCAUACUUGAUAUUAAAGUGAGAAGAGGGGUAAUUUAUAGGAGCUGCAUGAGAACUGUUUUCUUCUCUGGGCCAGCCUGUAUGGAAUCGCCACCUCUAUUCACCGUCCACAGUGGGACGAGAGGGAGAGAGGAAGCCUUUCCAUUCUUCCAGCAACAGUUCUGAAAAACCACACGUCCUGGGCAUGCCCGCUGUUCAAAAGAAGGUGGAACAGAGAGCAGGGUGGCUAUCUCUUUGUGUGUGCGAAUCUUGGAGGAAGGAGGGUAGGACGCGCGAUAAUGGGACUUCGCGCUAAAUUCCCAUCCCAACCUCUCACCUGGGGAGCUGGCGUUGGUCUGCUGCACAUCUUGAGCUGAAACAAAAUUGUCUUAUGUGUACAGCGUCUUUUCCAAAGAGGGAGAGAUGCCCCUGAAAUCCCACUUCUUGACAUUGAGCAGAGGUGCCAUCUCUAAUGAUUAGCGAGACACUGUGGGCUGUUUGUGCCGAUCUCCACCUGCGCUGUGAAAUCCCCAUGAUUUUUCUCACAUUCCCACUCAAGCUGCCGAGCAACUGGGCCCUCUCUCUUCUACGCGUGGCUGUGUCAGUGGGACUUCGGUGCGCCAUCCACCGGGUUGUUUUCUCGCUCCUCGCCACGACUAGUGAUGGGGUGUGGGAGGAGGCAGGCAGGUCACCGGAGGGCAGGGUCCCUCCACCCACCACGUACCCCCUUCAGUGGGCUGCCUUUCCUUCCGUUCGGGGUGAAAUCCUCCGCUCUGCUUUCUUAGGUACCCUUUGAAUGUAUCCCCGGGGGCUUCUGGAAGCGUCCUGCAGCUCUGCUGUCGCGUGGUAGGACUGCGGCAGUGUGAGGCUCGCAUGUGCAAAGGGGGGUGUGAGGACAGCUGGACUGCAUCCCUGAAAGCUGAGCUCCCGAGGCAUGCCUUUCACAGCCCAGCAGCACCAGCCCCCAGGGUCCUGCAACUUUCUCUAGACAUCCGGAGCUCUGCCUUGGGCAGGACUGACCAGGAACUGGAGGAAGAGGGCUUGGGAGCUUUCCGGAAAAGGUCUUGCUUUUAAACACUGGAAACCUGGAGGGAGGAAGGUGACGACGAGAAAUCUGCCCUCUUGUUCUCUGCUAAGUCGUGUCGCCUUGAACAAGAGACCUGCUCGUUUCAUCUUUAAAAUAAACCUUUUGAGCCA